Molecule: ribosomal RNA, 448 nt
Filed under: uncultured bacterium
Lineage: Bacteria
Description: bacterial SSU rRNA
Rfam family: Bacterial small subunit ribosomal RNA
Source: RNAcentral
UGGGGAAUAUUGGACAAUGGGCGCAAGCCUGAUCCAGCCAUGCCGCGUGAGUGACGAAGGUCUUCGGAUUGUAAAGCUCUUUUUGGCGGGGACGAUAAUGACGGUACCCGCAGAAUAAGCCCCGGCUAACUUCGUGCCAGCAGCCGCGGUAAUACGAAGGGGGCUAGCGUUGUUCGGAAUCACUGGGCGUAAGGCGCACGUAGGCGGACUUAUAAGUCAGGGGUGAAAUCCCGGGGCUCAACCUCGGAACUGCCUCUGAUACUGUGAGUCUCGAGACCGGAAGAGGUGAGUGGAAUUCCUAGUGUAGAGGUGAAAUUCGUAGAUAUUAGGAAGAACACCAGUGGCGAAGGCGGCUCACUGGUCCGGUUCUGACGCUGAGGUGCGAAAGCGUGGGGAGCAAACAGGAUUAGAUACCCCCGUAGUCCCUGAGCGGGCUGGCAAGGCGCAU